ACGAAGGGGGCUAGCGUUGCUCGGAAUCACUGGGCGUAAAGCGCACGUAGGCGGAUUGCUAAGUCAGGGGUGAAAUCCUGGAGCUCAACUCCAGAACUGCCCUUGAUACUGGCGGUCUCGAGUCCGGGAGAGGUGAGUGGAACUGCGAGUGUAGAGGUGAAAUUCGUAGAUAUUCGGAAGAACACCAGUGGCGAAGGCGACUUACUGGACACAUAUUGACGCUGAGGUGCGAAAGCGUGGGGAGCAAACAGGA
Molecule: ribosomal RNA, 253 nt
Filed under: uncultured prokaryote
Description: partial 16S ribosomal RNA
Rfam family: Bacterial small subunit ribosomal RNA
Source: RNAcentral